GACGAACGCUGGCGGCGUGCCUAAUACAUGCAAGUAGAACGCUGAAGAGAGGAGCUUGCUCUUCUUGGAUGAGUUGCGAACGGGUGAGUAACGCGUAGGUAACCUGCCUUGUAGCGGGGGAUAACUAUUGGAAACGAUAGCUAAUACCGCAUAACAAUGGAUGACACAUGUCAUUUAUUUGAAAGGGGCAAUUGCUCCACUACAAGGUGGACCUGCGUUGUAUUAGCUAGUAGGUGAGGUAAUGGCUCACCUAGGCGACGAUACAUAGCCGACCUGAGAGGGUGAUCGGCCACACUGGGACUGAGACACGGCCCAGACUCCUACGGGAGGCAGCAGUAGGGAAUCUUAGGCAAUGGGGGCAACCCUGACCGAGCAACGCCGCGUGAGUGAAGAAGGUUUUCGGAUCGUAAAGCUCUGUUGUAAGUAAAGAACGGGUGUGAGAGUGGAAAGUUCACACUGUGACGGUAGCUUACCAGAAAGGGACGGCUAACUACGUG
Molecule: ribosomal RNA, 497 nt
Filed under: uncultured bacterium
Lineage: Bacteria
Description: partial 16S ribosomal RNA
Rfam family: Bacterial small subunit ribosomal RNA
Source: RNAcentral